UACGUAGGGUGCUAGCGUUGUUCGGAUUUAUUGGGCGUAAAGGGCGCGUAGGCGGUCCGCUAAGUUCGGCGUGAAAUCCCCUGGCUCAACUGGGGAACGGCGCUGGAUACUGGUGGACUCGAGUACCGGAGAGGAGAGUGGAAUUCCUGGUGUAGCGGUGAAAUGCGUAGAUAUCUGGAGGAACACCGGUGGCGAAGGCGGCAUCCUGGGCCGGUAUUGACGCUGAGGCGCGAAAGCCAGGGGAGCAAACGGG
This 253-nucleotide ribosomal RNA is filed under the name uncultured bacterium. RNAcentral describes it as "partial 16S ribosomal RNA". It matches the Rfam family "Bacterial small subunit ribosomal RNA", at positions 524 to 776 of the family's 1533-position model. The record is from RNAcentral.